ACCCAGCCGCGAAAGCGUUAUCACUACAGCGAAGCCAGUGACGUCAGGAGCGUCACCUUCCAAGAAGCAUAACCUACUGGUCGAGGAACACAAUCACGCUGGAAAAUCAUCAAUUCAGAGCAGUCCAACAGUAUCAAUCACACAACCAACCGAGUGGCCGAGGGGUAGAAACGCCUUUUUUGCUGAGUAUCCACGCGACCUCACGCCAACAACUAAAGGGUCAACUUCCGCAAGGACACAUCUUACACAUCAUACGAUACACACACGGUGAUGAGCAACAUUUAAACUCACAACCACAAGAAACGAAGCUUUUAAAUCGGCCGAUUUACUCUCUUAUCUCUAAACGGCUCGAUGAAUAUGAACAAUCCAACCAACCG
This 377-nucleotide unclassified non-coding RNA is filed under the name Bombus terrestris (buff-tailed bumblebee). Its description in RNAcentral is "misc RNA ENSBTSG00005028857.1". Lineage: Eukaryota; Metazoa; Arthropoda; Insecta; Hymenoptera; Apidae. The record is from RNAcentral.